GUUGCUUGACUUCUACUUUCAGUUAGGGUAAGAUCCUAACCCUAAACAGCUGUGUUGUUCUCUCCUAUUCAGUUCAUGUUUGAGUCACUCACAGAUUAAAUCCCAGAAAUAAUGGCAGAAGCAGGAAGAAGGAGGCUGGAGGCUCUGCGCUUCAAUAAAAACCAUUUCCGAAUCAUUGCUCUGCUGUUUCUAGUUCACAUUGGACAGUCAAUGGUUUCUGAAGAUCGUCAGCUUAGGAACGAGUUUGUCAAAGACUGGGAGAAAAUGAAAGAAUUUGUCACACACUUCGUAAGUUUCCUUUUUGCUC
Long non-coding RNA from Poeciliopsis prolifica (blackstripe livebearer), 307 nucleotides. RefSeq lists it as uncharacterized. The record is from RefSeq and is a predicted model, not a curated record. Lineage: Eukaryota; Metazoa; Chordata; Actinopteri; Cyprinodontiformes; Poeciliidae. The transcript is spliced from 3 exons.